Pelobates cultripes (western spadefoot toad) is the source of this 1222-nucleotide non-coding RNA. Lineage: Eukaryota; Metazoa; Chordata; Amphibia; Anura; Pelobatidae. The record is from the annotation of a GenBank genome assembly.
AAGACAGCCCUAGCUCUAGUUAAAGCUAAAAUUAUUAGUUUCUAGUAAAAAUCAGUUUUAAUCAUCUAAAUGAGAAAUGCAAAGUCAAACCAGUGAAACUUUGAUGCUGUUUUGCAAUUCGGUAAGUUACAGAAAGUAAAUAAAACUGUCACAUUGACAGUAGAUGAUCAAGUAUACUGUACAUUAGUCAUGGGGCACAGAUAUGAAUAUUUAAUUUAGGAAGGUAAAAAAAAAAAAACUAGCAAGUGACUCAUCAUUGCCAAUUUAGCAUCAAGGCAAUUUAUGCAUUGCUCUUGGGCACACAAACUACCGCUGUAUAAAUUUAAAAAUUAUUGUAUAUUUUGUAUAAUCUAUGAUUUAAUGUAAGGUAUCCCUUUUCAUUAUAAUAAUGUUGCAGCUUGAUAAUCCAGCCAUGUCUUUAAAUGAGUUCCACCUUCCUCCGUUUUCCAGCUACCAGAUCAGUCCUGUGAAAUAUAUACCCUUGAUAAACGUGUUUGUAUAAAUAUCUCUCUUUCUGUGUCUCCUUUUCACUCUAUCUAUCCAUUUUCUCUCUAGAUGUGUAAAAUACGUUUCACUUCCUCUCUAGAUGUGUAAAAAUACAGAAAUAUAGUAACAAACUAUAAUGCUGUAAAGCUGUUAUAAUUGCCUACAUUAGGCUUGAAAAUCACAUUUCAGCGUAAUUCUACCUUUUCUGAUUGCCUUAUUUAGAGAGUGUACAUAAAUACCCAUGGUAUAAACAGAUAUUAAAUCAGAGAACUGGUGUUUAAGACUGUACUUAUUAGAGUGUCUCUUUUGCUAUUUUCCUUCCAUCUUUUUUUAUCAGUUUCCUGUUUUUGACUUGAUGUGUUGUGUUAAAAUAUAUAGUUUUUGAGGCCCAGAUCUUUGCCAUUCUAGCCCAUUUUGUUGCCUUCUAGCAUAAGACUCACUGGGAUAUGCAGAUUUUCAUCUAGACUGCUGUAUAAAUUAAAUGAACCAAGGAAAAAACAACUACACAAAAAGUUAUUGAAUGACAUUGACAACAAAACCAACGCCGUUACAAGGACAUUUAAUUUUGAGCCAUUAAAAUUUAUCAGAUGUUUGAAUCAAAUUAUUGUACUAUAUUUUCCAUUGAAAUCCAAAUACAAUAUCUCUGGAUUAACAUUUGAAUUUAAUAAUACUUGUCAGAAAUGUUAAUAAUGCAAAAAGAUUUUUCUCUUUUUUUAAUUGUUAUCUAUGAUAUACC